AGCAAGACUGUCCAAAUGGCCGUUUAACACCAGCCAAAUUUGUGGACAUGUACAAAAUGUUCUUUCCAAGCGGUAAUGCCGAAGAAUUCUGCGAUCACGUAUUUCGGACAUUUGAUAUGGAUAAAAAUGGUUACAUAGACUUCAAAGAGUUUCUAUUAGCCAUAGACGUCACAUCGUCCGGUACGCCGGAGGAAAAACUAAAAUGGGCAUUCAGAAUGUAUGACGUGGACGGCAACGGAGUCAUCGAUAUUCAAGAGAUGACGAAAAUCGUUCAGGCCAUCUACGAUAUGUUGGGUGCAUGUUCAUCUAAUCGUCCAGCUGACUCGGCAGAAGAUCGGGCUAAAAAUAUAUUCGCCAAAAUGGAUGAGAAUAAUGACGGACAGUUGACCCAGGACGAAUUCCUUAAAGGCUGUUUACAGGACGAAGAGCUAUCCAAGAUGCUCGCACCAUAACCACUGCCACGGCUGGCGUGAAAGCCCAAUAUAAUAUUAUAUUUCGCCGCAUUUUUUUGUAUAUCUUUUUCUCUCGCCCCGUAGGGUACGCCUUUAUCGGUGCCAAAAAAAACAAAACAAAACAAGUCAACCCGUUUUUUCUACAAAAAAAAAUUGAAUCCAAAAAAAAAAA
This 624-nucleotide small RNA is filed under the name Acyrthosiphon pisum (pea aphid). RNAcentral's name for it is "neuronal calcium sensor 2-like". The record is from RNAcentral. Lineage: Eukaryota; Metazoa; Arthropoda; Insecta; Hemiptera; Aphididae.